GUGGGGAAUAUUGGACAAUGGGCGCAAGCCUGAUCCAGCCAUGCCGCGUGUGUGAAGAAGGCCUUUUGGUUGUAAAGCACUUUAAGCGAGGAGGAGGCUCCUUUAGUUAAUACCUAAAGAGAGUGGACGUUACUCGCAGAAUAAGCACCGGCUAACUCUGUGCCAGCAGCCGCGGUAAUACAGAGGGUGCGAGCGUUAAUCGGAUUUACUGGGCGUAAAGCGUGCGUAGGCGGCUUUUUAAGUCGGAUGUGAAAUCCCUGAGCUUAACUUAGGAAUUGCAUUCGAUACUGGAAAGCUAGAGUAUGGGAGAGGAUGGUAGAAUUCCAGGUGUAGCGGUGAAAUGCGUAGAGAUCUGGAGGAAUACCGAUGGCGAAGGCAGCCAUCUGGCCUAAUACUGACGCUGAGGUACGAAAGCAUGGGGAGCAAACAGGAUUAGAAACCCCGGUAGUCC
Molecule: ribosomal RNA, 451 nt
Filed under: uncultured bacterium
Lineage: Bacteria
Description: partial 16S ribosomal RNA
Rfam family: Bacterial small subunit ribosomal RNA
Source: RNAcentral